GCCGGUGUAGCUCAGUGGAUAGAGCGUCGGCCGGCACACUGAAAGGUCCCAGGUUCGAUUCCUGUCAUUGGCA
This 73-nucleotide transfer RNA is filed under the name Myotis brandtii (Brandt's bat). It matches the Rfam family "tRNA". Rfam says of the family: Transfer RNA (tRNA) molecules are approximately 80 nucleotides in length. Lineage: Eukaryota; Metazoa; Chordata; Mammalia; Chiroptera; Vespertilionidae. The record is from Rfam by way of RNAcentral.